This 159-nucleotide ribosomal RNA is filed under the name Syncrangon angusticauda. Its description in RNAcentral is "partial 16S rRNA". Lineage: Eukaryota; Metazoa; Arthropoda; Malacostraca; Decapoda; Crangonidae. The record is from RNAcentral.
CAAAAUAUAUUAAUAAAUAAAUUGGUUGUAUAAAAUUAUAUUAGUUUAAUUUUGUUUAGCUGGGGCGGCUUUUAUAAAAUUAAUUAACUGUAAGUUAAAUUAAAAUAUAAAUAUAUAGAAUAAUAAGAUCCUCUUAGGUUGAGAUUAAAAGAUUAAGUU